CAGUUGGGAGUGAUUAUAGGCUGCCUAGGGGAACUGGGACAGCUGAUCCAGCUAAUUGGCUGGCCACAGGAAGUUAAAAGGCUCCCAGGGAAAGGAGCAGCAAUAGCUGCUGCUGCCAGGUUAGUGGUGGCAGCAGUAGGUCUGGUUGUUUAUCAGGACCUGAAAAGAAACCCAAGGCUGUGAGGUUGGAAACAGCUGCACAGCCACAGGGCUGGAGUCAGAGCCAGGCAGAGAAAGAAGACUGUAGUGCAGAGGAAGCAGCAGUGAGCUGGAGGCAUGUUCUCAGGGCUAGAGGAGACUCAAGACUUACUUGAAGAGGCUGGCCUUUGCAUGUGAGGAACAGAAAAAGAUGACAGCCAUAGCAAAGUACAGUAACUGUGAGAGAUGCCUGGGAAGGUAACAGGUUAUUUUGCUCCAGUGAUCUUGUUUACUUGAGACCAUGCACUUUAAGCCAGCUCUGCUACGUGAAAUAUAGACAACUGGAGAAAAGACUUCCUAUAAUUAUCCAUUAGUCAUAAUUUUCUUUGAAGACUAACCUUUGGUUUAAGAUUUAUUUUUUUUAAUUAAAAAAGAGAGAUUCCUCCUCCAAACAACACUGUAAAGAAUUUACUAUUGCAAUGGUGUAUAACGAUAUCAAAAUAAAAGAAUACCAGUC
Molecule: long non-coding RNA, 655 nt
Organism: Alligator mississippiensis (American alligator)
Lineage: Eukaryota; Metazoa; Chordata; Crocodylia; Alligatoridae
Exons: 2
Source: RefSeq, a predicted model, not a curated record